Ylistrum balloti is the source of this 7131-nucleotide long non-coding RNA. RefSeq lists it as uncharacterized. The transcript has 2 exons. Lineage: Eukaryota; Metazoa; Mollusca; Bivalvia; Pectinida; Pectinidae. The record is from RefSeq and is a predicted model, not a curated record.
UGUGUGGUUGUGUCCAGUUUGUAUCUCUCUGGAAGCUGAGAAGAGAACUGGUCUGUGUGAUUGUGUCCAGUUUGUAUCUCUCUGGAAGCUGAAAAGAGAACUGGUCUGUGUGGUUGUGUCCAGUUUGUAUCUCUCUGGAAGCUGAGAAGAGAACUGGUCUGUGUGGUUGUGUCCAGUUUGUAUCUCUCUGGAAGCUGAGAAGAGAACUGGUCUGUGUGGUUGUGUCCAGUUUGUAUCUCUCUGGAAGCUGAGAAGAGAACAGGUCUGUGUGGUUGUGUCCAGUUUGUAUCUCUCUGGAAGCUGAGAAGAGAACUGGUCUGUGUGGUUGUGUCCUUUGGAAAAACACUUUACAUCAGUUUCUUUGGACAGACUACCCAUGUGAUGUUCAGUGAGGUAGCCACCAGCUGCUACAAGAAAACCAUUACAAAAAGACCUUGGUUGUAGAUAUGUGAUGAGAUGGAAACCCAAUGCCAUAAAUGAAUGUGUAGAAGCCCAUCCCCUGAUUUUGAGUAAGAAGUAUUACAGUAGAUCCUCAGGCUUAUUAUUAAAGGAUAAAUACAGUAUUAUUGAUUUUUGAAAACUAUUGGUUGAAUACUUUCUAGGAUUAUUAGUCACUGGUAGAUAUGUUGUGAUUGCAGAAUAUACUGUACAUUUUUACAUAGUAAUCAUAUUUUAGCACUUUUCACACUCAAUGGAUUGUGCGAAAUAAUGAAUGUGCAAAGCACAGGUUCUAUAUGCAAUUUAUUUAGUGACUAGUGGGCUUAUUUGCCAAACAAUGAUUAUGCGCUAAAAUUUGAUUGUGUAAAAAUAAGUUUGUUUACUGAGGUUUAGAUUUAUAUUUGGAUGUUUCGUGGUUAGCGUUCAAAAUGAAUCGGAUUCAUUUAUUUUCAUGGCAAUGACACCAGAGUGUUUUUUCUGCUUGGUGUUACACCACAUUUUUUAUACUCUUUUAUUGUGUAAUGUAAGAUUACUUUUGCUACAAGUGUUUUAACAAUAGAUAGAUAUUUAUACAUAUAAUAUUGCCUGUACAGCUGUGCUGUAAUAUUGUAACUGACCUUUUGUCAGUACAUGCAGCUCAAGAUUUAGGAUUUCACAUAUAGGGAAAAUGUUUACUCCAUUGCUAUCAUGUAUUUUCUCAGAUGUCUUAAAUGCGGUAAUGUUACACAGUUGACACUUUUGUAUCUACUUUCACUGCGAGGGCCAUUUGUAGUAGAAUUUAUGGGUAAGUGGACUUUGAAAUACACAGGAGGCAUUUAUUAAACUGUCCCAUACACAUAUAUUAUUUAACAUGGGAUUUUUUGUUGCAUAGACAAAACAUGGAAAUACAAUAUGACAAAUUAGACUUCAGUUGAAAGAAACUUUGUCAUUACUAUAGACAAUCAAUGAAACUAAAACUCUAAAGUCUUCAUUGGAAAGAAUUUUGUAUAGCAUUCUGUCCAUUUGUUCCUUGUGUAUAUUGUUUAGAUGUAGAGACAAAGGUCCCACCAGUGAUUCAUUGUAUACAGUACCAGUCACAAGUAUAUUCCACUUUUAUUAGUAUUGCUUCUUUAUUUUAAUCAAUUUACAUUUAUACACUUGGUAUUUUGUUUAAGUCUACCACUAUUUUUACAAUGCAUAUUGUUUAUUGAUCAAAAUUUGUUGUUUUUUUCCUGUUCACUAUCAUUCAUAGACUUGCCAUGAUUUUAACCAUUUCAUUAGACUGCACUGGUAAACACAGACUUCUACAUUGGUGCUAUCACAGUAAAAUUUACACUGCAGUGAUGACUCAAAGUUUGACAAACUGGAAUUAUGGAGAAGUGAGGCAUUUAAACUUUACUAUACUAGAGUGUUCUUCAGAUGCAAUCAAGCAGAAUUACUGUAUUGUUCAUCUGUAGGAUAGCUAUGUUGUAGAUACCAACUGCUUUUAUGUUUGAUAGAUUUGAUCUGAGGAAUUGUUCCUAGGCGCAGAAAUGUAACAGAACUUGUGUAAAUGUUGUCAUGGAGUUUUGUACAAGAAAAAAAAAAUCACUCUAAGAUGUUUUUACUGGUUGCAUUACACAAGAGAUAACUAGGACUGUUACAAAUUUUAACUAUGUUACCUUGAGAGUAACUGCACCACCUACUAUAUAAGUACAGUUAUUCUGGUCAUGGAAUAGUCUGACUUGUUACCAGUGCAGGUUUAACUUAUUCAUUUAACCUGCACAGUAUUAUUUUUGCCCUGUCUGUCACAAACAUUUACUGAUUGCUGAUGCUACGACAUUAGUUGACUACAGGUGACUUCACACAACAUUCACUGAGUGCUGUUGACUCCACACAACAUUCACUGAGUGCUGUUGACUCCACACAACAUUCACUGAGUGCUGUUGACUCCACACAACAUUCACUGAGUGCUGUUGACUCCACACAACAUUCACUGAGUGCUGUUGACUCCACACAACAUUCACUGAGUGCUGUUGACUCCACACAACAUUCACUGAGUGCUGUUGACUCCACACAACAUUCACUGAGUGCUGUUGACUCCACACAACAUUCACUGAGUGCUGUUGACUCCACACAACAUUCACUGAGUGCUGUUGACUCCACACAACAUUCACUGAGUGCUGUUGACUCCACACAACAUUCACUGAGUGCUGUUGACUCCACACAACAUUCACUGAGUGCUGUUGACUCCACACAACAUUCACUGAGUGCUGUUGACUCCACACAACAUUCACUGAGUGCUGUUGACUCCACACAACAUUCACUGAGUGCUGUUGACUCCACACAACAUUCACAGAGUGCUGUUGACUCCACUUGAUCAACAGAUGUAAAAGAAUAACUAUGAAUUGUUGUGUUUUGUCAUGUGUGUUGGAUAUUUCUUGUAUAUCACAAGACUGGAGAAGAGACCGUAAAUGUAAGGGAGACAGGACUAGAUAUAGGCAUCUUAAAAUGUAUGAUUUAUUAUCAUUGCUAUUUUUAUACAUGUAUAACACUUGUGUUCAAAACAUAUACUCAUUUUAUAAUGCAACAAAAAAUUUACAUUACUGUUAUAUUUUUUAUAAUUUUUCAAUAUGAAUUUGAAAAAAAACAAGAAUUGACUUAGUUAUGGUUUUAUACAUGGUUAUAUGAGAAGAUUGUUUAAUCAGAAUUUGAGGAUAAGUGUGUGUUAUCACGUGUUGUUUACAAAGCACUAGACACUUAAUUGAUCUUGUGGUGUGAUGCAAAAACAGGACUGACUAGUGCCCCAAUACCAAAACAGGACUGACUAGUGCCCUAAUACCACAUCAUAACUGGCUGGUGCCCUGAUACCACAACAGGACUGACUAGUGCCCUGAUACCACAACAGAACUGACUAGUGCCCUGAUACCUUAAGAGGACUGACUAGUGCCAUGAUACAACAACGGAACUGACUAGUGCCCUGACACCACAACAGGACUGACUAGUGCCCUGAUACCACAACAGGACUUGACUAAUGCCCUGAUACAACAACAGGACUUGACUAAUGCCCUGAUACAACAACAGGACUGACUAGUGCCCUGAUACAACAACAGGACUUGACUAAUGCCCUAAUACAACAACGGAACUGACUAGUGCCCUGAUACAACAUCAGGACUUGACUAGUGCCCUGAUACAACAACGGAACUGACUAGUGCCCUGAUACAACAACAGAAAUGACUAGUGCCCUGAUACCACAACAGAAAUGACUAGUGCCCUGAUACCGCCACAGGACUGACUGAAACUAUCUUUUCAUUACAGAUACAAUGUCGUAAUGUUAAUCCUUUAAAAUUUUGCAGAUUUCCAAAUGUAGCUUAAACAUUGUAAACUAUAUACAUGUAUUUAAUGUAUCAAAAUCAAAGUGAACAAUUGCUAGAAUGUUAUCGUUUGGAACUAUUAAUAGAAAGUUGUCAUUUAGGACUCUUACUAGAAAGUUGUCAUUUGGAACUCUUGCUUAAUAGCCAACUUGUAGAACUCUUGCUAAUGGCUUACACGCAGAAUACUUGCUAAAUAGCCAACUUGCAGAACCCUUGCUGAAUAGCCAACUUGCAGAACCCUUGCUAAUGGCUUACACGCAGAACACUUGAGAAAAAGCAGACAUGCAGAACCCUUGCUAAAUAGCUUACAUGCAGAACACUUAAAAAAGCUGACGUGUUAAACGCUUGCAAGAUAUCUUAUUUUAGGAAACAAUGAAAGAAAAGAUGGAAAAUGUGGCUACAGAUAUUCUGGUUUGGCACAUUUUGAUAAUAAAUUCUUAUAUGAAAUAUGAAACAGUGUUGUAGGUCAGGUUAGUAUUCGAUAGGCAGUGAAGUGUUGAUUAGGUUUGUGUUCUGUAGACAGUGAGGUGUUGUUGGUCGGGUUUGUGUACUAAACACAGUGAGGUGUUGUUGGUAAGGUUUGUUUACUAAACACAGUAAGGUGUUGUUGGUAGGGUUUGUGUUCUAUAGGCGGUGAGGUGUUAAGUGAUGUGUUGUUGGUAGGGUUUGUGUUCUAUAGGCAGUGAAGUGUUGUUGGUAAGGUUUGUGUUCUGUAGACAGGGAGGUGUUGUUGGUAGGGUUUGUGUUCUGUAGACAGGAAGGUGUUGUUGGUAAGGUUUGUGUUCUGUAGACAGGAAGUGUUGUUGGUAAGGUUUGUGUUCUGUAGACAGGGAGGUGUUAUCGGUAAGGUUUGUGUACUAAACACAGUGAGGUGUUGUUGGUAGGGUUUGUGUUCUAUAGGCGGUGAGGUGUUAAGUGAUGUGUUGUUGGUUGGGUUUGUGUUCUAUAGGCGGUGAGGUGUUAAGUGAUGUGUUGUUGGUAGGGUUUAUGUUCUAUAGGCAGUGAGGUGUUGUCGUUAGGGUUUAUGUUCUAUAGGCGGUGAGGUGUUAAGUGAAGUGUUGUUGGUUGGGUUUGUGUUCUAUAGGUGGUGAGGUGUUAAGUGAUGUGUUGUUGGUAGGGUUUAUGUUCUAUAGGCAGUGAGGUGUUGUUGUUAGGGUUUGUGUUCUAUAGGCGGUGAGGUGUUAAGUGAAGUGUUGUUGGUAGGGUUUGUGUUCUAUAGGCAGUGAAGUGUUGUUGGUUGGGUUUGUGUUCUAUAGGCGGUGAGGUGUUAAGUGAAGUGUUGUUGGUCGGGUUUGUGUUCUAUAGGCAGUGAGGUGUUGUUGUUAGGGUUUGUGUUCUAUAGGCGGUGAGGUGUUAAGUGAAGUGUUGUUGGUAGGGUUUGUGUUCUAUAGGCAGUGAGGUGUUAAGUGAAGUGUUGUUGGUAGGGUUUGUGUUCUAUAGGCAGUGAGGGGUUGUUGGUAGGGUUUGUGUUCUAUAGGCGGUGAGGUGUUAAGUGAAGUGUUGUUGGUAGGGUUUGUGUUCUAUAGGCAGUGAGGUGUUGAGUGAUGUGUUGUUGGUGGGGUUUAUGUUCUAUAGGCAGUGAGGUGUUGUUGGUCGGGUUUGUGUUCUAUAGGCACUGAAGUGUUGUUGGUAGGGUUUGUGUUCUAUAGGCGGUGAGGUGUUAAGUGAUGUGUUGUUGGUGGGGUUUAUGUUCUAUAGGCAGUGAGGGGUUGUUGGUCGGGUUUAUGUUCUAUAGGCAGUGAGGUGUUAAGUGAAGUGUUGUUGGUCAGGUUUAUGUUCUAUAGGCAGUGAGGUGUUAAGUGAAGUGUUGUUGGUCAGGUUUAUGUUCUAUAGGCAGUUAGGUGUAAAGUGAAGUGUUGUUGGUCAGGUUUAUGUUCUAUAGGCAGUUAGGUGGAAAGUGAAGUGUUGUUGGUCAGGUUUAUGUUCUAUAGGCAGUUAGGUGUAAAGUGAAGUGUUGUUGGUCAGGUUUAUGUUCUAUAGGCAGUUAGGUGUAAAGUGAAGUGUUGUUGGUCAGGUUUAUGUUCUAUAGGCAGUUAGGUGUAAAGUGAAGUGUUGUUGGUCAGGUUUAUGUUCUAUAGGCAGUUAGGUGUUAAGUGAAGUGUUGUUGGUAGGGUUUAUGUUCUAUAGGCAGUUAGGUGUUAAGUGAAGUGUUGUUGGUCAGGUUUAUGUUCUAUAGGCAGUUAGGUGUAAAGUGAAGUGUUGUUGGUCAGGUUUAUGUUCUAUAGGCAGUUAGGUGUUAAGUGAAGUGUUGUUGGUAGGGUUUAUGUUCUAUAGGCAGUGAGGUGUUUUAGUCAUUUGAUAUUAUUCAGUAAUAUAAAAUAUAUUUAUACCAUCACUAAAAACUCUUCAUUGAUCUAGUUAAUACAAAAGAUGCUCUUAAUUUGUAAGGACAUUCCUAAAUGGUUGUGGUUUCAAUAAAUUGUCACAACAUCCUGAUUGGUUGUGGUUUCAAUUAAUUGUCACGACAUCCUGAUUGGUUGUGGUUUUCAGUUUUUUGGUAGGACAUUCCUGAUUGGUUGUGGAUCCAGUGAUGGGUUAGUGGAUGUAGGUUUAGAUAUGCUGCUUGAAUGGUGACUUCUUGUUGACACCUCGAAAGUAGUCCAAGGUCAGUUGAGCCAAAGAUUACUUAGGAGACAAAGGUCACCUAGAAGACCAAGGUCACUAAAUACGAUUACUUAAGCCUCGAUUCCGUGUAAAAGUAACUUAAUUUUGCAGAUUCCGUGUAAAAGUAACUUAAUUUUGCCGAUUCCGUGUAGUAUUUCACUAAUGUUGAAAAUAAAAUCCAUGAAGGACAUAAAGAAGCUGUGAGAGAGUAAAUUUUAAGUCUAAAAAUGUUUUGCCAAAAGAUGCAAGAUACUAAACUUCUUGUGAAAAAAAAACCCAUUUAGAGCUACAGCUUGGGUUCAAACAAAGAUGUAUGGAUUUUUAUUGAAUUUUCUGACAUUGAAGCAUGCUCAGAAAAAUCAAAGCGUUAUCAUCCUUGUGAGAAUGAAGCAUACACCAAUGACAGAUUUUUUGUUCCUUAUGAUAAGGAGUCAUGGUCAUUCUCCUCUGUUGCGUAUUAUCGCCAUAUAUUAUACCUCUUUAAUGAAGGUCUUUUUGAAUCAGUUUAGGAUGUAGUCAAUCUAAUUUGAUUUCAAUAAGUGUGCCACAUUUACUUGUUAGAAAAAGUCGUAAAGAAUUUGUGACAAAGAAAAGACGUAUGAAAUCUUGGGUCAUGAUUACAUUUGUGUUUAACCCAAGUAGAGGUCAAGGCCAAGUUGAUGAGCACUUGCUUUGGUCAUUGUAUUUAUUGUCAUGGCAAUGUACCUUUUUGUAAUAUACUUUUUAUCAAAAUUUUAAUAAAAUGUAAAUAAAUUAA